UAUUGCACAAUGGGGGAAACCCUGAUGCAGCGACGCCGCGUGAGUGAAGAAGCGUUUCGGCGCGUAAAGCUCUAUCAGCAGGGAAGAAGAAAUGGCGGUACCUGAGUAAGAAGCCCCGGCUAACUACGUGCCAGCAGCCGCGGUAAUACGUAGGGGGCAAGCGUUAUCCGGAUUUACUGGGUGUAAAGGGAGCGUAGACGGCUGUGCAAGUCUGAAGUGAAAGCCCGUGGCUCAACCGCGGAACUGCUUUGGAAACUGUAUAGCUUGAGUACUGGAGAGGCAGGCGGAAUUCCUAGUGUAGCGGUGAAAUGCGUAGAUAUUAGGAGGAACACCAGUGGCGAAGGCGGCCUGCUGGACAGAAACUGACGUUGAGGCUCGAAAGCGUGGGGAGCAAACAGG
Molecule: ribosomal RNA, 399 nt
Filed under: uncultured bacterium
Lineage: Bacteria
Description: bacterial SSU rRNA
Rfam family: Bacterial small subunit ribosomal RNA
Source: RNAcentral